UAGAGAGAAAGACUCUACUAGGUGGAUAGCUUGGCUCAAGACGGCGAUGAAGGACGUGACAAGCUACGAAAUGUCCUGGCGACCCGCACGUAGGGGCUGAACCAGGAAUGUCUGAAUGCGACUUCGUCAUAGAAGCUGAAAAGCUAGUUAGACGCAGGGAAUUGAAACGUCUUAGUACCUGCAGGAAGAGAAACUAAACCAAGGAUGCUGUUAUUAGCAGAGAGCGAAAGCAGCACAGGGCAAUCUGAACCGCUCAUUGAAAAAUGAGUAGGGAUGUGGAUUUAUAAGACUGUCUUUUAACCCCUAAUCAGACCAUCUUAAGUCCUCUGGAACGAGGCACGAUACAGGGUGAUAGUCCCGUAAGAAAACUUUGAUGGGUGUGACAGUAUCUUGAGUAGCAUCUACUUGAUUCUAGGUGUGAAUUUGGGAGGCAUCAACUCCUAACCCUAAAUACGUUCUUGAGUCCGAUAGCGCACUAGUACCGUGAGGGAAAGCUGAAAAGAACUCUUGACAGAGAGUUAAAUAGAACUUGAAACCUAGUAGAUAUAGAGUGAUACGCAGUUACGGCUGUGUAUCGUCCGUUUUGAAUAACGGGCCAGGGAGUUUGUCCGAGUGGCAAGGAUAACCAGUAUUCACUGGGCAUCCAUAGCGAAAGCAACAGCCCGCAGCUUGCAAGGGGCGAGGUGUGAAAGUGCCUUAAGUCACUCGGGCCAGACCCGAAGCCGAGCGAUCUACGCCUGGGUAAGGUGAAGCCCUCCUAAAGGGGGGUGGAGGCCUGCAGAGGUGCUACGGACAAGUGUUCUCGUAACCUGGGUGUAGGGGUGAAAAGCCAAUCGAGCUCGGCGAUAGCUGGUUCCUGUCGAAGUUGGCCGUAGUCAAGUCUUGAGCGAGGUUGUUUAGGAGGUAGAGCUACGGAUUAAAGAUUUAGGGCCCGAAAGGGCUCGGUUUUUUGUCCAACUCCGAAUACUUAAACACUGUAGACCUCAGGAAACGGCGGCUCGUCGUAAGGGUGAGUCGCGAGAGGGGAACAACCCAGACAGUGGUUAAGGUCCCUAAGUAUUGAUUAAGUGUUAAAGGGUGAAGGUUGUUUAUAACCAAAAACAGCGAGGAGGUUGGCUUAGAAGCAGCCAUCCUUUAAAAAGUGCGUAACAGCUUACUCGUCGAGGUUAUAAGCGCCUAAAAUGGACGGGGCUAAAUCAAUCACCGAUACCACUGGCAUCCGAAAGGAUUGCGGUAGGCAGGCGUUCUGUUAGGGUAGAAGCUUCUUCUCAAGGAGAGGUGGACCUUUCAGAAAUGCGAAUCCUGGUAAUAGUAAGAUCUUAGCACUGUGAGAAUCAGUGCCACCGAAAGGGCAAGGGUUCCUUGGCAAUGCAGUUCAGCCAAGGGUAAGUUAGUCCUAACUUAACUCAUAACUUGAGUCAUCGAGGAAAGGGAAACAGGUUAAUAUUCCUGUACCAUAAGGGUAUGCGCGGUAACGCAAGCUUUGUUUCUGACGCUUCUGGUUAGGCUGACAAUCCUCGUCGGGAUUGUUAAUAAAAACAUGUCAGGGGAGUACUGUAAUGGUGAGAACCUGAUUAAUUUUUAGAACAGCGGUGCUUAAGCAUCGUUCAGCUGAUAUCUGGAGCCCGUGAAAAGGGAACAAAGAAAAAUCCUUUAUGUCUAUACCCAGCACCGGCACAGGUGCCCCUGGGUGAGAAGCCUAAGGUGUGAAGGGAUAAUCUGGUUGAGGGAAUUCGGCAAAUUAGCCCUGAGUCUUCGGUAUAAGGGGUCCCUACUUUUGUAUUCGUAUGAGUGCGAUUGUAGGGCACAGUGACUAAGGAGGUCCGACUGUUUAACAAAAACUUAACUGAGUGCUAACCCGUAAGGGCUUGAAUACUCAGUGACGUCUGCCCAGUGCCUGUAUCUGAAACUCCUUUUCAAGGGAGCGAAGGACAGGUAAACGGCGGGAGUAACUAUAACUCUCUUAAGGUAGCGAAAUGCCUUGCCGUUUGAUUGACGGCCUGCAUGAAUGGCGUAACGAGAUCUCCACUGUCCCCAACCAGAGCCCUCUGAACAUUUCAUUCUGGUGCAAAGACCAGAGACUUCCAGUGGGAAGCAAAGACCCCGUGAAACUUUACUGUAGCCUGUUGCUGCAACGUGAGGUUGGAUGUAUAGAGUAAGUAGGAGUUGUUUGAGGCUUGCACGCUAGUGUAAGUUUAGACGUCAAUGUAACACUACUCAUCUGAUUUUGCGCUGCUUACCUGUUCCAAGCGGACAGGGACACCAGUAGGUGGACAGUUUGGCUGGGGUGGCACACUGCUGAAAAGAUAUCAGCAGUGCCCUAUGGUUGACUCAAUCGGGUCAGAAAUCCGAUGUUGAGUGUAAGGGCAAAAGUCAGCCUGACUGGGAUUUGAAUACGAAGAAUUCCAGAAACGAAAGUUAGGCCUAGCGAACUGCUACAUCUCCUUGAAUGGGGGGUAGUACUGACCGAAAAGUUACUCCGGGGAUAACAGAGUUGUCGCGCCCGAGAGCUCCUAUCGACGGCGCGGUUUGCUACAUCGAUGUCGGCUCUUCCUAUCCUGGCCGUGCAGAACAGAUUUUUACGAAAAAUCUGGUAAAAAGUAAUUAAGGAGGAUAUUCACUUCGUGAAAUCCUCCGAAUUGCCAAAACGUAGAAAUCUAUGUAUGCGGCCAAGGGUGAGGGUGUUCACCUAUCAAAAGGGAUCGUGAGCUGGGUUCAGAACGUUGCGAGACAGUUUGUUUGAUAUCUACUGGAAGUGUUGAGUGUCUGAAGGGAAGGACCAUCUAGUACGAGAGGAACGAUGGUUCGAAGCCACUGGUCGACCGGUUAUCUGACAAGGUAGGCCGGGCAGCUACGCUUUAUAUGGAUAAGUGCUGAAAGCAUCUAAGCACGAAGCCAUCCUUGAAAAGAGACGCUCAUGGACGCCCAUAGAAGAUGGGGUUGAUAGAGCUGGUGUGUAAGUACCAAGGCAACGAGGUAUUCAGCAUGCAGCUACUAAUAAGUCCAACUCUCUUUUAA
Molecule: ribosomal RNA, 3018 nt
Filed under: Planctomycetota bacterium
Lineage: Bacteria; Pseudomonadati; Planctomycetota
Also listed under: 1 other name
Description: Planctomycetes bacterium (groundwater metagenome) 23S ribosomal RNA
Rfam family: Archaeal large subunit ribosomal RNA
Source: RNAcentral